This 584-nucleotide ribosomal RNA is filed under the name Cophinforma atrovirens. RNAcentral's name for it is "eukaryotic LSU rRNA". The stretch from base 210 to 363 matches the Rfam family "5.8S ribosomal RNA". The record is from RNAcentral. Lineage: Eukaryota; Fungi; Ascomycota; Dothideomycetes; Botryosphaeriales; Botryosphaeriaceae.
CCGGCAGCUUACUGAGGAGAGAUCAUUACCGAGUUGAUUCGGGCUCCGGCCCGAUCCUCCCACCCUUUGUGUACCUACCUCUGUUGCUUUGGCGGGCCGCGGUCCCCCGCGGCCGCCCCCCCUCCCCGGGGGGUGGCUAGUGCCCGCCAGAGGACCAUCAAACUCCAGUCAGUGAACGUCGCAGUCUGAAAAAACAUUCAAUAAACUAAAACUUUCAACAACGGAUCUCUUGGUUCUGGCAUCGAUGAAGAACGCAGCGAAAUGCGAUAAGUAAUGUGAAUUGCAGAAUUCAGUGAAUCAUCGAAUCUUUGAACGCACAUUGCGCCCCUUGGUAUUCCGAGGGGCAUGCCUGUUCGAGCGUCAUUACAACCCUCAAGCUCUGCUUGGUAUUGGGCACCGCCCUUCUUCGGGCGCGCCUCAAAGACCUCGGCGGUGGCUGUCUUGCCUCAAGCGUAGUAGAAUACACCUCGCUUCGGAGCGCAGGGCGUCGCCCGCCGGACGAACCUUCUGAACUUUUCUCAAGGUUGACCUCGGAUCAGGUAGGGAUACCCGCUGAACUUAAGCAUAUCAAAAGUCGAGAGGAA